GAUGAAGAACGCAGCGAAAUGCGAUAAGUAGUGUGAAUUGCAGAAUUCAGUGAAUCAUCGAAUCUUUGAACGCACAUUGCGCCCUUUGGUAUUCCUUAGGGCAUGCCUGUUCGAGCGUCAUUUAAACCUUCAAGCUCAGCUUGGUGAUGGGUGACUGUCCCCCCCUCGCGGGGGGACUCGCCUCAAAAACAUUGGCGGCCGGUACAUUGGCUUCGAGCGCAGCAGAAACGCGGUCUCGAGCCCGGUGGAUCGGCUCCCAUAAGUCUAUUCUUUUAUUUUGACCUCGGAUCAGGUAGGGAUACCCGCUGAACUUAAGCAUAUCAUAAGCGGAGGA
RNAcentral lists this unclassified non-coding RNA (334 nucleotides) under soil metagenome. RNAcentral's name for it is "partial contains 5.8S ribosomal RNA, internal transcribed spacer 2, and large subunit ribosomal RNA". The stretch from base 1 to 120 matches the Rfam family "5.8S ribosomal RNA", at positions 35 to 154 of the family's 154-position model. The record is from RNAcentral.